ACAAAACUAUUGUGGUGGGAUAC
RNAcentral lists this non-coding RNA (23 nucleotides) under Arabidopsis thaliana (thale cress). Lineage: Eukaryota; Viridiplantae; Streptophyta; Magnoliopsida; Brassicales; Brassicaceae. The record is from RNAcentral.